UAGGGAAUUUUGCGCAAUGGGGGCAACCCUGACGCAGCAACGCCGCGUGGGUGAUGAAGGUCUUCGUGAUCGUAAAGCCCUGUCAGGAGGAACGAAUUUGCUUCCGGCUAAUAUCCGGAGGUAAUGACGGUACCUUCAGAGGAAGCACCGGCUAACUCCGUGCCAGCAGCCGCGGUAAUACGGAGGGUGCAAGCGUUGUUCGGAAUCAUUGGGCGUAAAGCGCGUGUAGGUGGUUUGGCAAGUCCUAUGUGAAAGCCCUUGGCUUAACCAAGGAAGUGCAUGGGAUACUACCAGGCUAGAGUACGGUAGAGGGAAGUGGAAUUCCUAGUGUAGAGGUGAAAUUCGUAGAUAUUAGGAGGAACACCCGUGGCGAAAGCGGCUUCCUGGGCCGAUACUGACACUGAGACGCGAAAGCGUGGGUAGCAAACAGG
Molecule: ribosomal RNA, 431 nt
Filed under: uncultured bacterium
Lineage: Bacteria
Description: bacterial SSU rRNA
Rfam family: Bacterial small subunit ribosomal RNA
Source: RNAcentral